RNAcentral lists this ribosomal RNA (486 nucleotides) under uncultured bacterium. RNAcentral's name for it is "bacterial SSU rRNA". It matches the Rfam family "Bacterial small subunit ribosomal RNA", at positions 29 to 536 of the family's 1533-position model. The record is from RNAcentral.
AUUGAACGCUGGCGGCAUGCUUUACACAUGCAAGUCGAACGGCAGCGCGGGGGCAACCCUGGCGGCGAGUGGCGAACGGGUGAGUAAUGUAUCGGAACGUAUCCUGUAAUGGGGGAUAACCAGUCGAAAGAUUGGGUAAUACCGCAUACGCACGAGAGUGGAAAGUAGGGGAUCGCAAGACCUUACGUUAUAGGAGCGGCCGAUAUCUGAUUAGCUAGUUGGUGGGGUAACGGCCUACCAAGGCGACGAUCAGUAGCCGACCUGAGAGGGUGAUCGGCCACAUUGGAACUGAGACACGGUCCAAACUCCUACGGGAGGCAGCAGUGGGGAAUAUUGCACAAUGGGCGAAAGCCUGAUGCAGCAACGCCGCGUGAGCGAAGAAGGCCUUUGGGUCGUAAAGCUCUGUCGGGUAGGAAGAUAAUGACGGUACUACCCGAGGAAGCCCCGGCUAACUACGUGCCAGCAGCCGCGGUAAGGAGUAGUACA